This 31-nucleotide ribosomal RNA is filed under the name uncultured fungus. RNAcentral's name for it is "partial 5.8S ribosomal RNA". Lineage: Eukaryota; Fungi. The record is from RNAcentral.
CAACUUUCAAAACGGAUCUCUUGGUUCUCGC